Molecule: long non-coding RNA, 226 nt
Filed under: Gossypium raimondii (Peruvian cotton)
Lineage: Eukaryota; Viridiplantae; Streptophyta; Magnoliopsida; Malvales; Malvaceae
Description: long non-coding RNA (GRAI_LNC002899)
Source: RNAcentral
UCUCCAUUUUACUUUUUCAUCAUUUUUCAUUUUUCAUUCUUUUUUUUUACUCAAAGUCCCCUUUUCCACCUUGGUCCUUUCUUCUUCUUUAAACGAAAUAUUUCUCGACUGGAUCUGAAUUUAUUGGAUUAGCAAACUCACUCAGGAUUAGCGUUUCUCUGAAAAAGGUCUUCUUUAUGACAUAGGGACAUUCCCGGUUUGGCAUUCAUUUCCCUCUAGAAUCCUU